This 109-nucleotide ribosomal RNA is filed under the name Sinocyclocheilus anshuiensis. Lineage: Eukaryota; Metazoa; Chordata; Actinopteri; Cypriniformes; Cyprinidae. The record is from RNAcentral.
GCUUACGACCAUACCACCCUGUCUGCGCCUGAUCUCGGAAGCUAAGCAGGGUUGGGCCUGUUUAGUACUUGGAUGGGAGACCGCCUGGGAAUACCAGGUGCUGUAAGCU